RNAcentral lists this ribosomal RNA (460 nucleotides) under uncultured bacterium. RNAcentral describes it as "partial 16S ribosomal RNA". It matches the Rfam family "Bacterial small subunit ribosomal RNA", at positions 338 to 795 of the family's 1533-position model. The record is from RNAcentral.
CCUACGGGAGACAGCAGUGAGGAAUAUUGGUCAAUGGACGAGAGUCUGAACCAGCCAAGUAGCGUGAAGGAUGACUGCCCUAUGGGUUGUAAACUUCUUUUAUAUGGGAAUAAAACGUUCCACGAGUGGGAGUUGGUAUGUACCAUAUGAAUAAGGAUCGGCUAACUCCGUUCCAGCAGCCGCGGUAAUACGGAGGAUCCGAGCGUUAUCCGGAUUGAUUGGGUUUAAAGGGAGCGUAGGUGGAUUGUUAAGUCAGUUGUGAAAGUUUGCGGCUCAACCGGAGAAUUGCAGUUGAAACUGGCAGUCUUGAGUACAGUAGAGGUGGGCGGAAUUCGAGGUGUAGCGGUGAAAUGCUUAGAGAUCACGAAGAACUCCGAUUGCGAAGGCAGUUCACUGGACUGCAACUGACACUGAGGCUCGAAAGUGUGGGUAUCAAACAGGAUUAGAUACCCGAGUAGUC